UCAUCACCUAUUAUCACGCAAACCUCCCUCCCUGCUGUCCGAUCAACCAGAUGGGUCCAUCCAUGUCGUCGUUCUGGAUCCCUCCUCUUUCUCUCCCCCUCCUCCCUUCCUCCCUCUCACUCCAUCACACUAAUGCACUGUGGCAGUCGGCUGCUGCGUUUCCUCCUGAAUUGUGGCCGAGAAGGGAGCUGAGGGCUGCAAAGAUCUGAUGGAGGCCUUCGCUGCUUGUGUGAAGAGCGCUGCCGAGGGGACGUCAUGAGGAGUCGCCCUCCAGCCUCCAAUGUCCACUGCACUGAGUCCUCCAAGUUCCCAGCAUUCCCUUCUGCACAACAGCACUGGACUGAAUGAUGACAACAACGAUGAUGAUGAUGAUGAUCGUAGCGCAACAUACACCGUGUUGAUUCGGGCUGAGUUUGGGAUCUGGCGGCAGUAACCACAGUUUCCUCCCCCCUCCUGUUUUAGGCUUAUCUGGUGUCCCUGUCUUACCGCCAUCCCUCUUCUCCCUCUACAGCUGACAUGCAGUACAUGGGCAAUUCCAGAGGGCCGAUGGGCUGUGAUGUAAAUUGUCGACUUGAAAUGAAUACUUAUAAAAGGAAAUAAAAGUAUCAAAAAAUUGGUAUAAUAAGAAUCUGUGGUUUCUGGACUCUUGUGUCACCAUUCUGAUGGUAGAUGUAGGAAAAAAGGAACACAGUCACGGUUUUGAGAGUACGGAUAUAUUUUAUCACCACUUGAAAUAGAUCUAAAGAAAA
Amphiprion ocellaris (clown anemonefish) is the source of this 749-nucleotide long non-coding RNA. The record is from Ensembl. NCBI's taxonomy places the organism in Eukaryota, Metazoa, Chordata, Actinopteri, Pomacentridae.